AUGAGGAAUAUUGCGCAAUGGGGGAAACCCUGACGCAGCGACGCCGCGUGGGUGAGGAAGUCCUUCGGGAUGUAAAGCCCUUUUCUCGGGGACGAAACGGACGGUACCCGAGGAAGAAGCCCCGGCUAACUACGUGCCAGCAGCCGCGGUAAUACGUAGGGGGCGAGCGUUGUCCGGAUUUACUGGGCGUAAAGCGCGCGUAGGCGGAGCGUUAAGCGUGGCUUGAAAGCCCCCGGCUCAACCGGGGAAGGUGGCUGCGAACUGGCGCUCUUGAGGGCGAUAGAGGGGGGCGGAAUUCCUGGUGUAGCGGUGAAAUGCGUAGAGAUCAGGAGGAACACCCGUGGCGAAGGCGGCCCCCUGGGUCGGCCCUGACGCUGAGGCGCGAAAGCGUGGGGAGCGAACGG
This 404-nucleotide ribosomal RNA is filed under the name uncultured bacterium. Its description in RNAcentral is "bacterial SSU rRNA". It matches the Rfam family "Bacterial small subunit ribosomal RNA", at positions 354 to 775 of the family's 1533-position model. The record is from RNAcentral.